ACCGGCAUUCCACCGCCGGCGCGGGCUACUGAAAAGGCUUGUCCUUCAUUGCCAGGUGUGCGGGCGGGAGCUUUCCCAACCAAUCCACGGCAGCACAGUUUGGUCUGAGUUUUAGGCUCUGUCGCGCUUCCAUCUCGCGACAAAGGCU
Molecule: non-coding RNA, 148 nt
Filed under: Afipia broomeae
Lineage: Bacteria; Pseudomonadati; Pseudomonadota; Alphaproteobacteria; Hyphomicrobiales; Nitrobacteraceae
Description: speF leader
Rfam family: speF leader
About the family: This family is a putative regulatory RNA structure that is found upstream of the speF gene encoding ornithine decarboxylase in Agrobacterium tumefaciens and other alpha-proteobacteria.
Source: RNAcentral